AAAAAGGGCUUCUGCCGUGAUUGGCACAGGAGCAGCAGUAUGUGCUGUUGCUCUUGCGGAAUCGCUAUCAAGAGAUUUCGGAAGCAUAAUUUUUAACAUAGGAGCUGCUGGUGAUCACUUGUCCCGGCGCUCCG
This 134-nucleotide small nuclear RNA is filed under the name Echeneis naucrates (live sharksucker). RNAcentral's name for it is "U11 spliceosomal RNA (ENSENLG00000002727.1)". It matches the Rfam family "U11 spliceosomal RNA". Lineage: Eukaryota; Metazoa; Chordata; Actinopteri; Carangiformes; Echeneidae. The record is from Rfam by way of RNAcentral.